CGAAACUGACAUUGAGAGACGAAAGCUAGGGGAGCAAAAGGGAUUAGAUACCCCUGUAGUCCUAGCCGUAAACGAUGGAUACUAAGUGCUGUCCGACUCAAAACGUCCAGUGCUGUAGCUAACGCGUGAAGUAUCCCGCCUGGGGAUUAUGCUCGCAAGAGUGAAACUCAAAGGAAUUGAUGGGGGCCCGCACAAGCGGUGGAGCAUGUGGUUUAAUCUGAUGCAACGCGAAGAACCUUACCAGGACUUGACAUCCCAUCUGAUUUUUUGAAAAAAAAAUCUUUAUUACUCGAUACUUUGUAAAGUGUAAAGAUAGUGACAGGUGGCUGCAUGGCUGUCGUCAGCUCGUGUCGUGAGAUGUUGGGUUAAGUCCCGCAACGAGCGCAACCCUUGUCUAUUAUUGCUAUGAUACUAAGGUAUCAGAAAUUAUAGAGACUGCCGGUGACAAGCCUGAGGAAGGUGAGGAUGACGUCAGUCGGCAUGCCCCUUAUGUCCUGGGCGACACACGUGCUACAAUGGCCGAGACAAUGAUAUGCUACUUCGUGAGAAUACGCUAACCUCAAAAACUCGGUCUUAAUUCGGAUUCAGGCUGCAACUCGCCUGCAUGAAGCUGGAAUCGCUAGUAAUCGCGCGGUCAGCCAUACGGCGGUGAAUACGUUCCCGGGCCUUGUACACACCGCCCGUCACACUAUCGGAGUUGGCUUGGCCCAAAGUCGUGACUUUAACCU
This 728-nucleotide ribosomal RNA is filed under the name uncultured bacterium. RNAcentral describes it as "bacterial SSU rRNA". It matches the Rfam family "Bacterial small subunit ribosomal RNA", at positions 735 to 1441 of the family's 1533-position model. The record is from RNAcentral.